This 401-nucleotide transfer-messenger RNA is filed under the name Prevotella sp. It matches the Rfam family "transfer-messenger RNA". Rfam says of the family: Bacterial tmRNA, also known as 10Sa RNA or SsrA, is named for its dual tRNA and mRNA-like properties. Its role is to liberate the mRNA from a stalled ribosome. Lineage: Bacteria; Pseudomonadati; Bacteroidota; Bacteroidia; Bacteroidales; Prevotellaceae. The record is from RNAcentral.
GGGGUUGACUGGAUUUGACAGCAAGAUGAGAUGGUACGUAAGCAUGCGGAGCGACGGCUGUGGGCUCCAUAAUCUCGUCGGUCGAACAAUUAAUUGGCGAAAACAACUACGCUCUCGCUGCCUAAACGAAGUACAGUAGUUUACUGGCUUAAUUCCCUUACAAGGUGAGGGAACGAGACAUCGCUCCAAGGAUGUGGUUCCGAAUCUGAGGACUCAGCGGUGCAGGACAAAUCGGAAAUAGUCCCUCGGGUGCUCCGACUGGUGGAUGAAACUUUAGGAGAUAAGGCUGUGAUUGGUGGCUUGGGUCUUGUCACGGCACGAAAAUGAAGGCCAAGAUAAGCAUGUAGAAAGCGUAUGGUUUCCUUGUUUGGACGAGGGUUCGACUCCCUCCAGCUCCACUA